CCGAGUGGAGCGCGCAUGUUAACGGUAUUGAGAGCGGAGUGGAGCGUGCCUGUUAACGGUACUCAAACGUCUUCCAGGCAACGAUCUUAUUUUUUUAAUAUUACCGUUUAAAAAAGCUGGAUUUCUUCUCUAUUUAUGAGCAGUUCAUCUGCGAAGAGGGGCAGAUUGUUCCAUAUUGUGUAGUUAUUUUUUAAGUUUUGUUUGCCUUUCAGAUUGUUCCGUAUUCUGUUUUUGGUUUUGUUUCUGGCAUGGCCAUGCCCUUUCUUCCUUCUGCUUUUGAGUUUUGCGUUUUUUCAUUCUUCAUUCAUGGUAUUUUGUAAAUGUUUUGUGUGUGGAUGGUAAUUUUUCAAUGGUAAAUUAGUUCGACCAUGAUAGGCCUUCACAGGUAGUUCCACAAUUAAAGAAGUCGUUUCUGGGUUGUACAUUUUGCUAGCUCAGGGUUCACUACAAUCUCUGGAGUUGCCCACGGAGCUGGCUCAAGUUCACUACUUUCAAAUUCUCAACCCUGUUGUUGUUGCUUCAAUUUACAUGAAUCAAACAUGUUUGGGACCAUGCUGGAGUGGCGGUGGGCUCGGUUGGUCGCUUAAUAAUGUACUGAUUUCUUCUCAUUAAUGGAUCAGUUUAAGAAGAGCUAUAAAGAGGCUAACCCUAAAGCCAAGGGUAUUGCCCAGGUUGCCAAAGAUGGUGGUGAUAAGUGAAAGUCUUUGUCAGAUGAGGUUUGCAUCUAGGCUACCAUAUGGUUGGUAAAAUAUGUAGUGUCUUUUAACUUUAGCUUUUGUAGUUUGAAAUUUACUGUCUAUAUAUAUUAUAUACAUAUAUAAAGUUUGUGUUUGAAUAAACUAUGUGUGAGGUGAGUAAAUUAAUUUUAUGGGAAGAGUGUUUUAAUUUUGGGAUUCACCUUGUGUAUUUAUAAUUUGGCAAGUUUGAGUUCAAAUGUUUAC
This is a long non-coding RNA of Cryptomeria japonica (Japanese cedar), 941 nucleotides long. RefSeq lists it as uncharacterized. The record is from RefSeq and is a predicted model, not a curated record. The transcript has 4 exons. Lineage: Eukaryota; Viridiplantae; Streptophyta; Pinopsida; Cupressales; Cupressaceae.